RNAcentral lists this ribosomal RNA (300 nucleotides) under uncultured Acidilobus sp. RNAcentral's name for it is "bacterial SSU rRNA". The stretch from base 52 to 300 matches the Rfam family "Bacterial small subunit ribosomal RNA", at positions 547 to 795 of the family's 1533-position model. Lineage: Archaea; Thermoproteati; Thermoproteota; Thermoprotei; Acidilobales; Acidilobaceae. The record is from RNAcentral.
GAUAGAUGUGGGAAGGAGGGCGAGGGAGAAGAGGGGGGGCGAGCGUGAAUCGGAUUGGCUGGGCGGAAAGCGCGCGGAGGUGGGUAAGUAAGUCAAAUGGGAAAGUCCCGAGCGUAACGGUGGAAGUGCAUUCGAUACUGGUUAGCUAGAGUAUGGGAGAGGAUGGUAGAAUUCCAGGUGUAGCGGUGAAAUGCGUAGAGAUCUGGAGGAAUACCGAUGGCGAAGGCAGCCAUCUGGCCUAAUACUGACACUGAGGUGCGAAAGCAUGGGGAGCAAACAGGAUUAGAUACCCUAGUAGUC